Molecule: ribosomal RNA, 468 nt
Filed under: uncultured bacterium
Lineage: Bacteria
Description: partial 16S ribosomal RNA
Rfam family: Bacterial small subunit ribosomal RNA
Source: RNAcentral
GACGAACGCUGGCGGCGUGCUUAACACAUGCAAGUCGAACGGUGAUGCUCCAGCUUGCUGGAGUGGCUCAGUGGCGAACGGGUGAGUAACACGUGAGCAACCUGCCCCAGACUCUGGAAUAAGCGCUGGAAACGGCGUCUAAUACUGGAUACGAAACUGGCCCGCAUGGGCAUGGUUUGGAAAGUUUUUCGGUUUGGGAUGGGCUCGCGGCCUAUCAGCUUGUUGGUGAGGUAAUGGCUCACCCAGGCGACGACGGGUAGCCGGCCUGAGAGGGCGACCGGCCACACGGGGACUGAGAGACGGCGCAGACUCCUACGGGAGGCAGCAGUGGGGAAUAUUGCACAAUGGGCGAAAGCCUGAUGCAGCGACGCCGCGUGAGGGAUGACGGCCUUCGGGUUAUAAACCUCUUUCAGCAGGGAAGAAGCGAAAGUGACGGUACCUGCAGAAGAAGCACCGGCUAACUACGUG